CUUAUUCAGUGAAAACAUGAUGAAGAGUUAAACAUGAGUAACAUGUAAUUAAAAAAAUUUCAUCAGUAAAAAAAAGGUAAAUACUGCUAUUCAUGGUAAUUUUUUCUUCAAAAAAUGGAUUUGUUAAACCCAUUAAAUUGUAAAAUUUUAAAAACAUAAAAAAUAAAAUACUUAAAAGUAAAUAAUAUAACAAACAAGAUGGACGGCUACACAGUUUAUAAAAUGUAAUGAAAAAGUUGGGUCUAUGUCAUAUAGUUAUUCUUGCAAGCAGAAAAUUCAAUCAUGAUUUAAUCAGAGUAGUCUAGUCCUACAGACUGAUAGAUUGGUUAUCUGUUGGACUAGUCUACUCUUAAAGGAGGGUAGUUUACUUUAAACCUAAUGAUGACUUCACAGUUCAGCUAGUAAGCAAGCUAAUCAAAGAUAUAACCUUUACCUACACACUCAAUGCAUUCUGCUGUAAUGUAAAAUUUCUGGACAUCUUGUUAAAUGGCACAUAUUUUACAGUUCACUAUGAUGAAGUUUACAUUACCUU
This 532-nucleotide long non-coding RNA is filed under the name Mytilus galloprovincialis (Mediterranean mussel). Lineage: Eukaryota; Metazoa; Mollusca; Bivalvia; Mytilida; Mytilidae. The record is from RNAcentral.